GUGCAGCCUUAACCCUGUAAGCCGGAAACGAGGCUACAUUUACAUCAAGUCAGCGGCCAUAUUGGAAGAAAACAAAAGAAAAAUAGGGUGUAGCACUGAUACUAAAUGUCCGAAAUAGAUAAAGCCAUAUCAAAACUGGGAUAGGAACCAGUGUGGCAGUUGACAUUACAUAACAUAGCUGGUUGGGAGCUGUUAGUAACGUUCACAAGAAAGUUGGUCACCAGACAGUGAGCGCACAUUGAGUUCUGUGAUUUACGAAAGCAUCUGCAGAGACUGGCGUGAGUGCCUUGUGUUGUGUAGUCGUAGCCUCCGUGUCCCUUGCCCGCACGCUAUCUACCCAGCAUGCCUUUUACUCAGAAGUCUGAGCAGGUGAUCAAGAAGAAGAAUGAGCGAGAUGCACUUGACCGCCACUAUCGCAUGAACAGACAGAAAGUAUCUGUCACGUUGAAAGACAUGAUAAACUUCUGUCGGCAGCACCAGAUGGAAGACCCGCUCAUCUUCCCAGUGCGAGAAAACCCUUUUAAGGAGAAGAAGACUUGCCAGAUAUUGUAGACCCUUGCAGCCGCUUCGGGUGGACUUAUGUUGUCGUGUCUUCCCCCAUCCAGUCACUGUUAUUUUGUAGACUUCAAGUGCUUUCCAUUGUUGUGUUUCUAUUUUCAGUUCAGUUUAUUUCUUACAAGCAUGAGAAUUCCUAUGUUCAACAUUUAGUUACGAAUUAUUAGUUGCCUGAUUUUUAUGUCCCCCACUAUAGUAGUGGGGGACAUAUUGUUUUUGCCCUGUCUGUUGGGUCUGUUGGUUGGUUGGUUGGUUUGUUGGUUGGUUUGCGCCAACUUUAACAUUUGCAAUAACUUUUGCAAUAUUGAAGAUAGCAACUUGAUAUUUGGCAUGCAUAUGUAUCUCAUGGAGCUGCACAUUUUGAGUGGUGAAAGUUCAAGGUCAUCCUUCAAGGUCAAAGGUCAAAUAUAUGGGUCAAAAUCGCUCAUUUAAUGUACACUUUUGCAGUAUUUCAAUAUUCAAGAUAGCAACUUGAUAUUUGGCAUGCAUGUGUAUCUCAUGGAGCUGCACAUUUUGAGUGGUGAAAGGUCAAGGUCAUCCUUCAAGGUCAGAGGUCAAAAUUAUGUGGACAAAAUCGCUCAUUUUAUGAGUACUUUUGCAAUAUUGAAUACAGCAACUUGAUAUUUGGCAUGCAUGUGUAUCUCAUGGAGCUGCACAUUUUGAGUGGUGAAAGGUCAAGGUCAUCCUUCAAGGUCAAAUAUAUGGGUCAAAAUUGCUCAUGUAAUGUCACUAAUGCAAUAUUGAAGCUAGCAAUUUUAUAUUUGAAAUGCAUGUGUAUCUCAUGGAGCUGCAGAUUUUGAGUGGUGAAGGGUCAAGGUCAAGGUCAUCCUUCAAGGUCAAACGUCAUAUAGGGGGACAUUGUGUUUCACAAACACAUCUUGUUAAAUUUUGUUUGUUGUUCCUGUAUUGAAGUAACCACACAUAUUACACAUAUAACCACUGGUGUAAUAGUACAACUGAUAUCUGACCAAAACAAUUGAGCUAUUGUGUUUAAGUUUUGGACCAAAGAAAUCUUAAAAUUGACGUAUUAUUUAAAUCUCUUGACAAUAUUAACCACAUGGCUGUGCAACUUUUCCAUGACAAACCAUAUUUUUGCCGUAUCAUUACAGGGUGGCUGGCUUUGAAAAUAUGAUUAAAGCAUAACUCAAUCAAAGUUUAUAUGAUGAAAUGUUAAAUGUGUUUGAUUUUUGUGAACAGUGUUUAACUCAACUGAAGUACUAAAGAAUGUGUUUGUGAAAAUUUAAACUAUGAUUUGAAAAAAUAAUCAGGCAUCUUUAUGUCACAAAAUCAUUUGUAAAGAAAAAUUCUUGUUAACAUCCAAUUAUGAGGGGGUUUUGCCGUUAGUGACCAGUUCAUGUAAAGAUUGUAAUCAAUAUUGUUAAUAAUACGAAAUCUAUAGUCCUUCAAAUGCACUGAGACAUUUUGUAAAUUUUGCUUUGUUGAAAACAGCUCUUCAAAUCUUAAAUUAAACAGGUUCUUUCUAUUUGCUUUUCAUUUUACUGAUUGUAUAAUUUGAAACAAAUAGUAAAAUAAUUUUAAAACCUUUUUUACUAUUCAUGGUGCUUCAUGUUCAGGCGGCCAUUGGAUUCAUAGAGCAUCAAGUUUAUCCAUUCCUGUAUCACUUCCAUAAUGAUGUUGGUGCUGUUAAGGGUAUAUUUGACAAUAAAUUUUGUAUUAUUCUUCAAUCUUGAGGAUUAAAAUAUUUAUUUGUUUCUUUAAA
Long non-coding RNA from Dreissena polymorpha, 2275 nucleotides. RefSeq lists it as uncharacterized. The record is from RefSeq and is a predicted model, not a curated record. The transcript is spliced from 5 exons. NCBI's taxonomy places the organism in Eukaryota, Metazoa, Mollusca, Bivalvia, Myida, Dreissenidae.